This 304-nucleotide long non-coding RNA is filed under the name Setaria viridis. RNAcentral's name for it is "long non-coding RNA (SVIR_LNC003314)". Lineage: Eukaryota; Viridiplantae; Streptophyta; Magnoliopsida; Poales; Poaceae. The record is from RNAcentral.
AACCAUAUCACCACAAAAUGUGUCGUGGUUAUAUGUGUACAGGGUAUUGCAACACAAUAUGGGUCGUGGUUAUACGCUCAAUGGAUAUCGCAACGGAAAAUAUGUCAUUGUCAUAUGCUUGUUGGUCGUCAGCUAAAACGGAAAAUCCAAAACAAUAAUUGAUGCCACAUAUAUAUCAUUAAUUAAAUCAAUCCAUCAUUCAUGCACACCAUUCUUGAUAAAAUAGAAUAUUCGACACAUGAAAAUACUCUUGUCCAUUCAUCCACAUGACUCCCAUCCCAGCAUUCAUGAUAAUCAACUUUGC